RNAcentral lists this ribosomal RNA (459 nucleotides) under Macrococcoides caseolyticum. Its description in RNAcentral is "bacterial SSU rRNA". It matches the Rfam family "Bacterial small subunit ribosomal RNA", at positions 95 to 541 of the family's 1533-position model. The record is from RNAcentral. Lineage: Bacteria; Bacillati; Bacillota; Bacilli; Caryophanales; Staphylococcaceae.
GCGGCGGACGGGUGAGUAACACGUGGGUAACCUACCUAUAAGACUGGGAUAACUUCGGGAAACCGGAGCUAAUACCGGAUAAUAUUUAGCUUCGCAUGAAGCAAUAGUGAAAGACGGUUCUGCUGUCACUUAUAGAUGGACCCGCGGUGUAUUAGCUAGUUGGUGAGGUAACGGCUCACCAAGGCAACGAUACAUAGCCGACCUGAGAGGGUGAUCGGCCACACUGGGACUGAGACACGGCCCAGACUCCUACGGGAGGCAGCAGUAGGGAAUCUUCCGCAAUGGACGAAAGUCUGACGGAGCAACGCCGCGUGAGUGAAGAAGGUUUUCGGAUCGUAAAACUCUGUUGUAAGGGAAGAACAAGUACGUUAGUAACUGAACGUACCUUGACGGUACCUUACCAGAAAGCCGCGGCGAACUACGUGCCAUCAGCCGCGGUAAUACGUAGGUGGCAAGCGU